Molecule: ribosomal RNA, 525 nt
Filed under: Dactylonectria macrodidyma
Lineage: Eukaryota; Fungi; Ascomycota; Sordariomycetes; Hypocreales; Nectriaceae
Description: eukaryotic LSU rRNA
Rfam family: 5.8S ribosomal RNA (bases 158-311)
Source: RNAcentral
ACCUGCGGAGGGAUCAUUACCGAGUUUACAACUCCCAAACCCCUGUGAACAUACCUAUUUGUUGCCUCGGCGGUGCCUGUUCCGACAGCCCGCCAGAGGACCCCAAACCCUGAUUACAUUUAAGAAGUCUUCUGAGUAAACCGAUUAAAUAAAUCAAAACUUUCAACAACGGAUCUCUUGGUUCUGGCAUCGAUGAAGAACGCAGCGAAAUGCGAUAAGUAAUGUGAAUUGCAGAAUUCAGUGAAUCAUCGAAUCUUUGAACGCACAUUGCGCCCGCUAGUAUUCUGGCGGGCAUGCCUGUCCGAGCGUCAUUUCAACCCUCAAGCCCCCGGGCUUGGUGUUGGGGAUCGGCGAGCCUCCGCGCCCGCCGUCCCCUAAAUCUAGUGGCGGUCUCGCUGUAGCUUCCUCUGCGUAGUAGCACACCUCGCACUGGGAAACAGCGCGGCCACGCCGUUAAACCCCCAACUUCUGAACGUUUGACCUCGGAUCAGGUAGGAAUACCCGCUGAACUUAAGCAUAUCAAUA